Molecule: ribosomal RNA, 245 nt
Filed under: uncultured Eubacteriales bacterium
Lineage: Bacteria; Bacillati; Bacillota; Clostridia; Eubacteriales
Description: uncultured Clostridiales bacterium partial 16S ribosomal RNA
Rfam family: Bacterial small subunit ribosomal RNA
Source: RNAcentral
UACGUAGGGAGCGAGCGUUGUCCGGAAUUACUGGGCGUAAAGGGCGCGUAGGCGGGUUGGUAAGUUGUAUGUGAAAUCCCCGGGCUCAACCCGGGACGUGCAUACAAAACUGCCGAUCUUGAGUGCGGUAGAGGGAAGUGGAAUUCCUAGUGUAGCGGUAAAAUGCAUAGAUAUUAGGAGGAACACCGGUGGCGAAGGCGACUUCCUGGGCCGUAACUGACGCUGAGGCGCGAAAGCGUGGGGAG